CCUACGGGUGGCAGCAGUAGGGAAUCUUCCACAAUGGGCGAAAGCCUGAUGCAGCCACGCCGCGUGGAUGAAGAAGGUCUUCGGAUUGUAAAACCCUUUUGUUAGAGAGGAAGGUGCGUGAGAUUAACUGUUCACGUUUUGACGGUACCUGACCAGAAAGCCACGGCUAACUACGUGCCAGCAGCCGCGGUAAUACGUAGGUGGCAAGCGUUAUUCGGAUUUAUUGGGCGUAAAGGGAACGCAGGCGGUCUUUUAAGUCAGAUGUGAAAGCCUCGGGCUUAACCGGAGUAGUGCAUGGGAAACUGGGAGGCUUGAGUGGCGGAGAGGAGAGUGGAACUCCAGGUGUAGCGGUGAAAUGCGUAGAUAUAUGGAGGAAGACCAGUGGCGAAGGCGGCUCUCUGGUC
RNAcentral lists this ribosomal RNA (404 nucleotides) under uncultured bacterium. Its description in RNAcentral is "partial 16S ribosomal RNA". It matches the Rfam family "Bacterial small subunit ribosomal RNA", at positions 338 to 734 of the family's 1533-position model. The record is from RNAcentral.